Long non-coding RNA from Eublepharis macularius, 3081 nucleotides. RefSeq lists it as uncharacterized. Lineage: Eukaryota; Metazoa; Chordata; Lepidosauria; Squamata; Eublepharidae. The record is from RefSeq and is a predicted model, not a curated record. The transcript has 2 exons.
AUUAAAGCCAUCCUGCAGAACAUCAUGAGCUCGCAAACAAAAAAAGUAGGUGUUACUUUUUUAUUUAAAAGGGAGGGGAGCAGGGAAAGAGGAAGUGUUUCUGGAAGUUACAAUUCUAUAGUUCAAAAAGUUCCAACAACUAGGACUAGGUACUGUGGAAUUUUAAAAUUUCUGCUUCACCUAUUUAAGGCUCUGUACUCUUUUAACGGUGAUGUUCAGAAGGAGCUCUGCUGAAAUUGCUGUCUCCUGAUCUCCAGUCGCACUGCACUUUAACUGAAUUCAUUUAUGUAGAAGGCACAGUGCAACAAGCAACAUGAAAUACUUCCAGAAGAAAACCUUCCUUUAUUUUUGUAAAAUAUGCUCUUACUAAAACGUGGAAAAUAGGGUCCACCGUGUGCUUUUUACAUAACGAGAAGGCAGAGUGCGACACUUACUUGUAAAUGUUUUAUACGGUUGCUUCCCCCAAAGUACCUUUUUCUUGUCACUAGCUACAUAGCCUCUCCACUCCAACCUGCACCAAUCACUUAGUUAUGAAUCCUUCCUAGCCUGGUUUUGAUGGAAGUGUUGCUCCGACCCUAAUUAAAUAGAAAGCUGCCACUUUCCUUAAGAUGUGGUUAAUUUGUUGCCACGUUAAAAAAAAAUCAAUAAAGUUAUUGGGUCAGGUUUCUGGUCAGCUUUAAUAGACUUUUUAAAAAACUGUAAAAUGCCAUUUUGAAGUUACUAGGCAACCACAACCAUAUUGCUGAGCCUUCUAAACCUCGGUUUCUGUAAAAUCCCUGGAGAGGAGCAUUUAGAGGCCAAAACGGCUCUGCGAAGGUCCUGUCCCUCUCACCUGUCUUGUCCCCUGAUGGACUGGCCUGAUGGUCACCACUAGAAACUCGCUGGAGACUCCCAACUAGACCUGGCCUAGUGUCCGGUACUGCACUACUGGGAAGGAGGGAAUGCUGAAGACAGGGGCAGAUGAAUGGAAGUUGGCUGAAUGGUGGAAAGGGGAGAGGCUGUGGGGCUUUCAGGCAAUGGGAAGUGGAAAAAACGGGGAGAGAAAAAUGAUAUGCUCCUGCAAGUCCUUGUGGGUCCCCUGUUUGUACAUAAGUAAUAGCCUUAGAGGGAGUCAGUUCUGGGAGGACUCAAAUUCCAGCCAAGCCAAUAGACAAGAGAUUUGCUGUCCUCUGCCCUUCAUCUGAGCCUUCUAUCAAACCAUUCGGAAAAGACUGAGCUGUCAGUUGAAAGGAUCUUUUAGGAGGCACAUCCAUUCUCAGUUUGCCCAGUCAUAGAACCAUGCCACCUGAGUGCCUGUUAUGCCAUGCCUGUGAAGUCUUUGUGGCUGGCUGAUGCCAACCUUUGUUAUAGAUCCUAACGAAGCCAGUUGAGGAGCAGCGGCAGAUCUACACUUCCCUCAGUAGGGCAGAAGAUCAAGUCAUAUCUUCCUCUUCGCUUUCCACACUGUGGAAAAGCAUCCACAUCUCUUGCGUCAGGAAAAAAGGCCAGAAGUUGUGAAGACCAGCCAAACGGUGGACAGGAGUGUGUCCUUCCAGAUGGCAAGCAUAAAACUUCAUUGGUAGAAGAACCAAGCCAAGGUGGUGUCUUGAGGACCUCUGAGCUAUUCAUCACUCCUUAGCAUGCCUGUUGUAUUUGUAUCAUUUGAAAAUGAUUUUAAUGGAAGCUUAUUUAUGACUGUCUCAAAUUAAAUUAUUUUGUGUUGCAGAAAUGCUACUCAGAUUAUAUAAAAAGGUGAUAAACAUUUUGAGCGAAUGUUAUAUAUCAAAAGACCAAGCUAGCUGUAACCCAGGAGGGGGGAUUCAGGCAUUCUUUCUCAUGUUUUCUUCCCCACUUGUGCUGCAGGAGCUGAGGAUGUCUUUUAGCAAAACAGGCGACGAGAGCGAAACCCUGCCUCUCCCUCUCCUAACUUCAUGCAAAGAGCAGCAUAAGAGAGGUGUUUUUCUCCCAGCCUGGUUCCGGUGCUGUAACUGAGCCAGAGUGGGAGAAAGAUGCUUCAGACAAUAAAGAACCAUGACAUUGAACAGAGGGAAGUGGAUAAGGUUUAGCUCCUCUCUUUUACAUGUGAAUAGGCAGAAUGUGAACACGAAUAAAUGCACACAAAUGAAGAAAUGUUACAACAGUACACUCUUAAUCUAGUCAGGCUUUCUUUUUGUACUGAACUAAAGCUGGCAUGCUGAACUUCAUGAUGGACUGUUCAAAAUCAGCGUAGGGCCAUGUUCAAAUACAUCUUAUGUACAGGCAGCUGUUCUUUGGAACAUCUCGUGCUGAAAUUUAUUUUUAUUUACAUUAUUUAUAGUCUCACUGAGACUCAAGGGGGGGGGAUUGCAUAGAAUAAGUUAAUACAGUCAGUGGCUGGGACAUUCACUAAGAGAGCAGUUCUUGCACGAACUCAUAAAGCUGCCUUAGCUUGCAGCAGAUCCUUGGUCUGCCUACCAAGGCCAGUCUUGUCUACUGCUUGGACUGACAGCAGACCUCCAGGGUCUCAGGUAGAUGUCUUUCACUUCACCACCUAUAUGAUCCUUAACGGGCAAUGCCAGAGAUUGAAUGUGGAAACUUCUGCAUGCCAAGCAGAUGCUCUUAUCACUGAACAACAGCCCCUUCCAUUUUGUGAUGUAGUGAAACAUAGUACACCUACUAUCAUACAGUAAACACAUGCACGUUUUCCUCUCGGUAGGUAUGAAGACACCAAUUAGGAGGGGUCCUUAGUAGCAACUGCAGCGUCCUUUUUCUGCUCUCUCCGCACAUUGUUAAUUGCUUCUUCGGUCACCCAACAACAAAGAUUCUCAGGAACAGGUUAACAGUAAAGAACAGAUACUGGGGAGAGCUCAAAGUAGAUGAGGCCUUUAUCAGUAAGUCUCUGCAAUAAUAGCUCUAUGUCUGAAAACAGAAAAACUAAACAAAAGGUUUCUGUCACAGUAGCCAGGCAUCAGCUGAUGCAUGCAGGCUCUUCCAUCACUCUUCCAGUCUUUUAAAGUCCUGUGAUUAGCAGGUGAAAAGAACAUGUAUAAAAUUGCUUGACUUCUGCAGUCUGAACAGGAGUCUGUUGGUUGGGAAUAUUAAAACUGGUAUUGAAUUAAUGAA